RNAcentral lists this ribosomal RNA (152 nucleotides) under uncultured bacterium. Its description in RNAcentral is "partial 16S ribosomal RNA". It matches the Rfam family "Bacterial small subunit ribosomal RNA", at positions 356 to 504 of the family's 1533-position model. The record is from RNAcentral.
GAGGAAUAUUGGUCAAUGGCCGCAGGGCUGAACCAGCCAAGUCGCGUGAGGGAUGACGGUCCUACGGAUUGUAAACCUCUUUUGCCGGGGAGCAACGGGGUCCUUGCGAGGGCCCUAUGAGAGUACCCGGAGAAAGAGCAUCGGCUAACUCC